UGGCUCCUUUUGGCUGGCUGUGGUUGUUUGCAUCUAACAAGGCCAGCUCGUCACCAGGCUCUGUGCGAAUGAAAUGAAGCAAUGGGUUGAAGCAGGGCAAAGGAGGCGCCGCGUCCUGACAGGCUGAGAUAGAGAAGGUGCAUGCUGCAUGAGGAGAUGCAAGCAAUUUCCUUUCAAAUGUAUUUAGAGACAUGGCCAAGUGCUGAACAACCUGGCUGCUAGGCCCGAAGUAUAUGAGCACUUGCAUCUAGGUAUUUACCCUCUGACUGAGCAUACAAAUCAUUAACAUACAGCACUAGCAGCAAUGCUUCCAAAUGCUUUCAACCCCAGAAACUCACUAGCAUAAAGACAGGAAGCGGAAACUGUCCUAUGGUGAACAAGGCCUCCAGCACUGCCUAAGGAGUUUUCACCAGCUUUAUCUUGUUCUGCCAUGUAAGGACCUUAUUUUAUUGCUGUCUCCUGGAAGAAUAUUUCAUGGAAAUUCAGAAUGAAAGAUGAACAAGGUAGCAGUAUUAAAAUACUUUUUAUCCUGUCUACUUUUUGAUCCUGUCCAUUUUACUGUAUAUGUUUUUGAUUUUCUGAGCAUUGUUCUUGGUCAUUCAUAGUUGCUUACUGUGGGUUUUAUUAUGUUUCAGAAAAGUCUAGAACCCUAUUUGAGAUUGUAUAGAGACAGCACAACUGUAAAGAUGCACGUCCCUUGCUAUGUAGCUAAAAUGCUGCUUAGAUUGAUUAGCAAUAUCUGGAAACCAUGCUCUUAGCCAGGUCUUUACAGAAAUGAUACUCUGGUGUAGUGAUGCUGAUGUAGUAGUGGUGUGAUGAGUUUAGCUGCAGUUUAAGCUCUGGUGCUAAUGUAAAUAAGAAUGAACUUUGCUCAGCGCAGUGUAAAAUGGUAUUGCUGCUUUAUCUGAACAUCUGGGAGUUCCUUAAUCUUCUCACAGCACAAUUUCAUGUUCACAGGCUGUUAAUGAUUUACUUGCCUAGCUGGUCUGUCCUCUGCAUCUGCUUUUUGUUGUAUCACUAAAGGCUGCAGUGUUUUGCACUUAUUUCACUUUACAGUGUGGUACAUUUCUAAACUUUAAGUGAGUGUUUUUUGUAUGGUUUUGCUCCAUGUCUUUUAAAUGACUUGGUAAUGCUACUAUUCAACAUUUUUAAAAUUAAAAAUUAAUUUAAAAGCUGAGAACAAUGAUCUGUUACUCUAAUUUUCUAAGCAUAGUUACGGAUUCAGUAAAAAAGCAGUGUAGUGUUGUAGUGAAUCGGUAACCUUAGAAAUUUGUGGCAGACCAAAGAAAAUAAGAAACUAGAUCAUGAGAUACAUAAAAGUCAAUAGAAACUAGGACUGCUGCAACAACGGCUUUUUGAAGAAAUUGCCAGAGAUUUAAAGUAAUCUGUGAUUAAUUGCUGAAAUUAAAAAUCCACUACCACUUAACUUGCAGCUGUGCAACCUGAGGCUCUGGUCUAUGAAGAUCCCAAAAACAAAGCUUCUCAGAGGUAAUGAGACUUCGGGUGAAUGAUUUCAAAAGAGAAAAAAUGGCUGUUGCAGUAUUUCUUCUUUGAGGACUCUGAGGAUAGAGGAUUUCUCCAGGAAUUAUGCAAAAAGAGGUAUUAGGAAUCUUUUAUACUUUCUUUUUCACAUAGUGGUUAGUUGUGAACAGUAUGUAAGGGUUAAGAAGUAUUUCAUUUCAGCAAUUUGUAUUGCACUGAGAUAAAGAAUAAUUACAGUAUGACUAGGCAUAUUUGAACUGGCUAGAGAAUAAAACACCUUGGAUUACAUCCAGUGAGGGUGUGGUAGAGUGUACUUCAGUUAAGGCUGAGUAAUACAAUGCACUGUGUCCCCUUUAACAACACGACUACAGAACUAGUUUGAAAUUGACCAAUAGCUUGCAUUUCCAGUGUGCAUACAGCACUUUAAGGAGCACCACAAAAAUUCAAAGUUGAAAAGGGACUGUUAGAAUGCACAAGAAGAAUGGCACACCUUUGGAAGUAUUAGACUUGUAAUUUUAGUUUGUGGGGAUAAAUUAUUUUGAGGCAAAAUUCCUCCUGAGAAGUUCUCUCUCUAUCCUUUUGCCAAAUGAAAGAAGGUCAGUGAAAAUGUUGUUAUACCAAGGCAAAAAAAAGAAAAAAUUCUGCCUGGACUGCUGAUAACUGGCUUGCUGGAGUGCUUAGUCUUCCACAGUCUCUGUAAAAAUGAGGAUUUAUAAACCUGACAGCCCUGCUCACUGGAACUUCAGCCCAACACUUUGGUCAGCAUGGUCUAUAUUUCUAUUUAAAUAACCUACUGUGUAGAAAAUACAUAAGAGUUCCACUCCUCCCUCUAUUUUUCCUAUCAUCUGUCGUUAAUAUUCCACAGCUUAUUCUGACUGAACAUAGGAUGGAGUUAUUCAUACUAGUUUUUUGGAAAAUAUCAUCUUCCAGCCUAAUUUUCCUAAUCACCAACCUAUGUCAUGACACUUUAAGUAAUCUAUUGCAGAGAAACCUUGACCUUUGAGCAUGAUUUUUGACCACGCCAUUUGAAACUAAUCUUUGAAGUCCAGAGGGGCUGCAUGCUGAGAAUGGGCUUCUCAUGAACUUAAGCUGAGUUUUCCAUGUAUGCAGUUUCAAUCCAAAUUUUUUGAAAUAAAAUGAGAUUUUCUUCCACUUCUCCAGGAGUAAUUAUGACACAGGUAGAUGCCAAGAAGGAAUGAAACCUUCCAGUAUUGUGCUGAAGUGUAGUUUCUUCAGAUUUUUUUUUACAAGGAUUUUUCCUAGAAGGACGUAUUCUAGAGCAUGUCUAGAUUUUGUGUCAGAGGAAGGUCAGGGUUUUGAUUCAGAAGGGAGGCAGACAGCAUACUAACAAGUGCAGUAGCUGAGGGUUAACCAGUAAAUCAAAAAGCUCUUCGGCAGUAUCAUUGCACCCAAAGACAUUGCUUCUGAUAUUCCCAAACUGAAUUUACUUUAACAUCUACUUCCUAUCUUUUCUUCCUCAACACACCUCUAUUUUUCAAUAUGGAUUUUUUCACAUGAUAAAAAGUACUUAUUUCCAAACAUUAAACCCUUGCCUCAGAUUUAUUUAACUUUGAGGACAGAACUGUUCAUGAAAUGGUAAAUCUGUGAUUUCUCAUUGUCCAUAAUCUUCUAAUGAAUGGAAUGCCAUUCAUUCAUUGAGAGGCAAAAAUUAGCAUUUAUUUAAAUGUGCUGAAAAAUGAUAGCAUUAUAACUGCAGCGCAACUACUGAAAAGCUAAAACUUACACUUAGUUCUCCAUCUUUAUUCAAUGAAUAUGUGACCACAGGCAGUAGUAGGAGACACUAACAAAGGCAGAGGUACCUCCCUUGGUAAUUGCAGCUCCUAGCUCCACAUAGGCAGAGGUGUUACAGGAAUGGUAUCCAGCAAGCCUCAGCUCUCAGCUGAGUUAGCAUGCUGUCUCUGCUACAUGUCUGACUUAGUGUGGUGCUUUUGUUGUUUAUUUUUGAGUGAGAGAAAUGCAAGCAGAUCCCUGUAAGAAAAAAACUAGGUGUUCUGAUUUGCUUUGCUUAUCCAGUUGUUCCAAUGCUUACAUGUGGAGAGCGCACAUAAGUUCAUCUUCAGCUUCCUGCAGACAUGCUAUUUUCUUUCAGGAUAGCAAAUUGAUACUGGCAUAAAACUGUUGAGAUGGCUUUUCUCUACAGGCAAAGUGUUCAGUUUAGCAAUUAAUGGUUGUCACUGUCAGGGAGAAUUUAUGGUUUGCACUAACUUUUGAAAUAGAUUAGUCAACUUCAAGUUAUGUUUCAACAAGAGUAGGUAAUGAAGAUGGAUCCAGCAUUACCACUUUGGUAUGGAACAAAUAGAUGGUAAUGAUAAUGAAUGCCUCUGGAGCAGUACUGAUCAUGGAGGGACAGGGAACAAGAUGCUGCAUCAGCAAAGAAUUAGAAGUUCUGGUCUUGCCUACACCAGAUUAAAGCUUUUUUUGUUUUGUAUGUCCAGGCUCAUUACAUUCUCCUUGAAAAUGUGAGUAAGAACACAUAUUUCUUCUAAGCAUAUUUUUGCUUUUUCAGUAUAGGUAAAGGAAAAAUGCAAUGAAUUGUUUUUAGUUUUGUUUGUGGGUUUUGGUAUUUUUUUGUUUGGCUUUUUUUUUAGCUUGGAGAAUUUUAUUGAUUGUUAUGUAAAUAGUUUCUAAUGAACACCUGGAGAAUGAAGGAUGGAAAAACACAUGUUGGAAGUGAAAUUAGGGGGAAAACAAAAA
Long non-coding RNA from Numida meleagris (helmeted guineafowl), 4197 nucleotides. RefSeq lists it as uncharacterized. The transcript has 3 exons. Lineage: Eukaryota; Metazoa; Chordata; Aves; Galliformes; Numididae. The record is from RefSeq and is a predicted model, not a curated record.